AGGACGAACGCUGGCGGCGUGCUUAACACAUGCAAGUCGAGCGAGGCCUUCCCUUCGGGGGAGUGCCCUAGCGGCGAACGGGUGAGUAACACGUGGGCAACCUGCCCCUAGCACUGGGAUAACUCCGGGAAACCGGGGCUAAUACCGGAUAUGACCUUUGAGGGCAUCCUCUUUGGUGUAAAGGAUUCUGGCUAGGGAUGGGCCCGCGGCCUAUCAGCUUGUUGGUGGGGUAAUGGCCUACCAAGGCGACGACAGGUAGCCGGCCUGAGAGGGCGACCGGCCACACUGGGACUGAGACACGGCCCAGACUCCUACGGGAGGCAGCAGUGGGGAAUAUUGCACAAUGGGCGAAAGCCUGAUGCAGCGACGCCGCGUGAGGGAUGACGGCCUUCGGGUUGUAAACCUCUUUCAGUACCGACGAAGCGAAAGUGACGGUAGGUACAGAAGAAGCACCGGCCAACUACGCGCCAGCAGCCGC
Molecule: ribosomal RNA, 478 nt
Filed under: uncultured bacterium
Lineage: Bacteria
Description: SSU rRNA
Rfam family: Bacterial small subunit ribosomal RNA
Source: RNAcentral